This 253-nucleotide ribosomal RNA is filed under the name uncultured bacterium. Its description in RNAcentral is "partial 16S ribosomal RNA". It matches the Rfam family "Bacterial small subunit ribosomal RNA", at positions 524 to 776 of the family's 1533-position model. The record is from RNAcentral.
UACGUAGGGUGCAAGCGUUGUCCGGAUUUAUUGGGCGUAAAGAGCGUGUAGGCGGCCAUACAGGUCCGUUGUGAAAACUCGAGGCUCAACCUCGAGACGUCGAUGGAAACCGUAUGGCUAGAGUCCGGAAGAGGAGAGUGGAAUUCCCGGUGUAGCGGUGAAAUGCGCAGAUAUCGGGAAGAACACCCGUGGCGAAGGCGGCUCUCUGGGACGGUACUGACGCUGAGACGCGAAAGCGUGGGGAGCGAACAGG